GAGAGGUGAAAAUCAUUUGGAGUGUAUCUGACUUUCAGUUCAUCAUCUCAUGUCCAGUGUUUCUUCUGUCUCCUCAGAGUCUGUUGGACAAAAUGUUGUUGUGACUCAGUCAGCAGCCAAAUCAGUGCAGCUCGGUCAAACUGUCUCUAUUGACUGUAAGUUCAACAGAGAACCUGAUACAUGUUGUUCGGCCACAAGGCACCUCUUGGCCUGGUACCAUCAGAAAACUGGAGAAGCUCCUAAAGCUCUGAUCUACAGAACAUCGGACAGACUUUCAGGAAUCUCCUCCAGAUUCAGUGGAAGUGGAGCAGGGAAUGGAGUUGACUUCACUUCAGUUUACAUUUUGUACUGUGGAACAAACAACAUGUAACACAUAUUGGGAUGCUAAAGACAUCUUUAUAUGUAAUUAAGCUCAGAUUUCUGCAAAAAAGAAUUUAAAUCAGAUCAGUAGCUACUUUCCCAAACUUAGACUCAGUUAUUUCCUGGAUCAUUUCAGUCACUGUAAGCAGUGAGGAGGUAAAGUGGUGAUGUGUUGAGCUACUGCUGAUCACCUGGACAUGGAAAAGAUCUUCGAGAAGAAGUUGGAGCAGAUAUUGAGGUUUUUGGUCACACUGAUCAGAAACAUGUUUAGAGGAGAGAAUGUGAUGCCUUUAGCCCCAAGAACACCAAACCUACUGUCAAGCACGGUGGUGGCAGUAUUGUACUCCGGGGCUGUUCACUGCCAGUGGAACUGGUGCUUUACACAAAGUAAAUGGAAUAAUGAAGAAAGAGGAUUACCUCCACACUCUUCAGAAAAGAAGAACAUAAAACCUUCAGAAGGUUGGUUCUUGGAUGCAGUUGUGUGUUCCAAGUCAAUGACCCCAAAUGUAUUGAAAAUGGUAAAGAACUGGAUCAGUUUGGCCAGAAUUAAGAGUUUAGACUGGUCUCCCCAAAGUCCUGACUUAAAACCAUCAAAAACCUGUGAUCUGUGAUGAAGGAACAAGUCUGUGUCAGAAAGUCAGCAAAUUUAGUUGAACUGCACCAAUUCUGUCAAGAGGACCGUCAAAGAUACGACCAGAAGCUUGUAGACGGAAACCAAAAGCACCUAGUUGAGGUGAAAAUAGCCAGGUGAUGUUUUAACAAAUAUUGGCAUCACUGUAUGUUUAUUUAUGACCCAGCAGAUUCUGUCAAAUUACCAGACGACAUAUAAUAAAUCUAUACAAGAAAAAAAAA
This is a non-coding RNA of Stegastes partitus (bicolor damselfish), 1212 nucleotides long. Lineage: Eukaryota; Metazoa; Chordata; Actinopteri; Pomacentridae. The record is from the annotation of a RefSeq genome assembly.